Molecule: ribosomal RNA, 428 nt
Filed under: uncultured marine bacterium
Lineage: Bacteria
Description: bacterial SSU rRNA
Rfam family: Bacterial small subunit ribosomal RNA
Source: RNAcentral
AAUAUUGCACAAUGGGCGAAAGCCUGAUGCAGCGACACCGCGUGCGGGAUGAAGGCCUUCGGGUUGUAAACCGCUUUCAGGAGGGAAGAAAAUGACGGUACCUCCAGAAGAAGGCCCGGCCAACUACGUGCCAGCAGCCGCGGUAAUACGUAGGGGCCAAACGUUGUCCGGAUUUAUUGGGCGUAAAGGGCUCGUAGGCGGUUCAACAAGUCGGUCGUGAAAGCCCGGGGCUCAACUCCGGGACGCCGGUCGAUACUGUUGUGACUAGAGUUCGGUAGAGGUGAGUGGAAUUCUCAGUGUAGCGGUGGAAUGCGCAGAUAUUGAGAGGAACACCAUUAGCGAAGGCGGCUCACUGGGCCGAUACUGACGCUGAGGAGCGAAAGCGUGGGGAGCAAACAGGAUUAGAUACCCUGGUAGUCCACGCUGUA